AGUGCGCUUGUGUAAUGUGGGUUCAUAGUAGGUGCAAGAAUUACAAAACAAGCUGUCCUAUUUUUGGAAGGCUUUGAAACGCUCCCUCUCAGUGCAGUUCAAACGGAUCUAAAAAUGUCUGCUGUGUGAAACGGCAACUGGAUGGCUUAUCUGUCACUGCGCGCUAUUGUCUCUUGCAAGGCAUUUUCACCAGUCAAAUGCUUGCUAUUUCCAGUCUAGACUAGAAAAAGAAGCGGCUAAUGUUUGCGUGUGUACUUGGAGAGGUGAUGGGCGGGUCGUAGCCAAGCUCCAGACUCUGCAGUGUCACUGCUGUAAUGGAGCUGAUUGAUCACCUAUACGGUCGCCUGCUGGCCCCCGCCGGCUUUAGUGCAGAGCAAGUCGCAUCGCAACCCCCCUCCCUCCCUCCCUCCCUUUCUGCGCCACCGCCGCUAUCGGCGAGCCAAUCUGGGAAGCAUCCCCCCUCCUAUAGACUUCAACCUGGCCACGGUUUUGACAUUGGCUGCAGGAUUUACUUGUCCGCCUCUUCUGCACUUGGCCCGCCGUCCGUUUUUCUGCAGUUUCCGCACACAAGCGCGGCUCCAUUUUGUCGGCCAUUUUCUCAUUUGAGUAUCAUCAAGGCGCUGUUGUUUUCCGUUCUUAUUUAAGGGCAUAAUCAAUCAACGAUAACAUUUGCAGCAGAUCGCAUUCCCUGCCCCCUCGAUGUCACGGGGGGUCAUAGCCCAAAUCUAUCAAGGGUAUUGAAAGCAAUUCAAGUCAGAGACUCGGACAAGCUGUCGAGGGCAGAUGUCAUUUGAAAUGUGAGCGUUUUUAACAUAAUAUACAUUCAUUUAUAUGAGUAUAUCAAUGAUAUUUGUUCAUACAGGAGAUUGCAGCGCUCCAUUUUGCUUUGUCCACAAUGCAAUAUGUGUGUGACUAUCUCAAAGUGCUCUGCCACUUCUGUCACAUGUGUUUUCUCAGAUGACAGUUUGCUCUCAAUUAUAUACGCAAUAUCUGCUUAAUAGUGUUUGUGCGUGAUAGAUAAGGCUUGGUGGUACCAGACCAUGCAAUUCCCUAAGUGUGCCCCCCCCGGGCAGACAGUUUUGCUGCAGUAUGUGUUUGUCUGAACACGGCUGGAAAAGAGAAGAAAUUGAUCAGCGUAGGGUGGAACGUGUUCACCAGCAAAGGCUGGGUGUGUGUGUGUUUGUGUGUAAGAGAGAGAGGGAGCGAGAGAAAGAGCAAGGGCUGUCGCUGCAGACUCCUGCUGCAGUAGCUCACUUUGGGCAAGCAGCUGCAGACAGCAGAGACAAGCAGACAGGUUUUGUUGUUUGGUGAAACCGCAUGUGUUUAGUGGAUCUCUUAUCGCAGCAGGGUGGAAUGAGGAGGAAGAGGAAGAAGUAUGCUUCAUAGCAGUGCCGCGUCGAGAAAGAAGAGGGGGCGCUUUUGGGGGGGAGUGUCUGAAUUUCCAGACACUGCGGCAGGAGGCCAGACAGUCACCUGAACACACACACACACGCUGAUGCACCUGUGCGACAACAUUCAGACAUUUUACGAGCAGCUCCGCCUCUUAAGCCAAUUUUGUUUGCAAUUCAAUAAAGAUUAUAAAUGGUAGCCCCCUGUAAUUGUAUUGGCUAAAUGCAUCCAAGACAAAGUUCCUCCCUUUUGCUCUGGGUGAUUAAUUUCAUUCGAUUCUUCUUAGAUUACAGUAAGCAGUGUUUAAAGUGAAAGGACAGUUGAGAGAUGAAGUCGAGGACUCUCACUAGUAAGAUAAAUAGAGAAGACCCUGUGCCUUCUGAGCCACUUGUCUCAGCAUGGAUGCUCUCAAGGUGGAUUUCUUGGGUGUGCAAUUCCCCCCUUGGUCCUGCGGGCCCUGCUGCCUCCCUCCCUCCCUCCCUCCCCUUCUUCUCUCAUCAAGCCCAUCUGUGAUUUACCUGAGAGGCGUUGCCAGGGAAACUUGGUAUCGGGCUUGCGGCUUGAUGGACUUAUUGAACCGUAACGGGCUGGGAUAAUUGUCCUCUGUCUUCUAGGUUGGCUAUCCUGUGACUGAGACUCGAAUGUGACCUACAACUGCCGUGGCAUUGUUGCUAUGGGAGAAAAAAUGUAACCCAUUUGCCAGCAGAUAGACAUUAUUUAUUUCAUACAGAUUCUCAUGUGCAUGAUACAAUUGAAUCCCUCCAACGAGUGUGGAUGAAAGAUGGUCAUGACCGUAAAAUUAUUUCUGUGUUGUCAACUGUGUCCAGUAAAGAGGUGGACUCCAAGAAUUGAAAAAACUUAACAAAAUAUUUUAAAAAAGGAAAAAAAAAUCUGUCACUGCAAA
This is a long non-coding RNA of Syngnathus acus (greater pipefish), 2293 nucleotides long. RefSeq lists it as uncharacterized. Lineage: Eukaryota; Metazoa; Chordata; Actinopteri; Syngnathiformes; Syngnathidae. The transcript is spliced from 2 exons. The record is from RefSeq and is a predicted model, not a curated record.